RNAcentral lists this ribosomal RNA (253 nucleotides) under uncultured bacterium. RNAcentral's name for it is "partial 16S ribosomal RNA". It matches the Rfam family "Bacterial small subunit ribosomal RNA", at positions 524 to 776 of the family's 1533-position model. The record is from RNAcentral.
UACGUAGGUGGCAAGCGUUACUCGGAAUUACUAGGCGUAAAGCGCAGGUAGGUGGUUGGGUAAGUCUGUCAUGAAAUCUCCCGGCUUAACUGGGAGAGGUUGAUGGAUACUGUCCGGCUUGAGUGUGGCAGAGGUAACUGGAAUUCCAGGUGUAGCGGUGAAAUGCGUAGAUAUCUGGAGGAACACCGAUGGCGAAGGCAAUCCCCUGGGCCUGCACUGACGCUCAUGCACGAAAGCGUGGGGAGCAAACAGG